AUUGAACGCUGGCGGCAGGCCUAACACAUGCAAGUCGAACGAGUGGCGGACGGGUGAGUAAUGUCUGGGAAACUGCCUGAUGGAGGGGGAUAACUACUGGAAACGGUAGCUAAUACCGCAUACCAUCGGAUGUGCCCCGAUGGCAUUAGCUAGUAGGUGGGGGAAAGGCUCACCGAGGCGACGAUCCCUAGCUGGUCUGAGAGGAUGACCUGCCACACUGGAACUGAGACACGGUCCAGCCUCCUGCGGGGGGAGGAAGUGGGGAAUAGUGCGCAAGCGGCGCAAGCGUGAUGCAGCCAGGCGGCGUGUAUGUAUAAGGCCUUCGGGUUGUAAAGUACUUUCAGCGGGGAGGCGUUAGCCGAAGAAGAAGCACCGGCUAACUCCUUGCCAGCAGCCGCGGUAAUAG
RNAcentral lists this ribosomal RNA (406 nucleotides) under uncultured bacterium. Its description in RNAcentral is "partial 16S ribosomal RNA". It matches the Rfam family "Bacterial small subunit ribosomal RNA", at positions 29 to 526 of the family's 1533-position model. The record is from RNAcentral.